Molecule: long non-coding RNA, 1702 nt
Organism: Felis catus (domestic cat)
Lineage: Eukaryota; Metazoa; Chordata; Mammalia; Carnivora; Felidae
Exons: 3
Source: RefSeq, a predicted model, not a curated record
AUGUAUCAUAUAUAAAAUCAGUAUCCUUAUUCAUUCUUUGUUUUGUAAUAAGGAUAAAAAAUUCAUAUAAUAUCUUGCCCAUUGUUGGACAUACUGAGUGUAUUUAAUCAAGUCACCAGUAUCAUUACAAUGCUUAUCACUUAUCACUUAGCCACCUAAGACACUCAGCGUCAUUUAUGUAUGUUUCUGUUUCAUGCUGCUCCUUAAUAUGUGCUUCAAAUGCUAAUUUUUAUCAGAUAUUUCCUUGGAGAAUGUUCCUUUAAACAUACUUUGCAACUUGCCAGUCACUAUUAUAUGUUAACCCAAUAACCAUUUAAACCUAUAGCAUUUUUGGUAACCUCGCUAUUCUCACCUCUCUCCAUGUCUCACUUCUCUUCAGAUUGCAUGCCUCGCCUAUAGCGGAAGGGAGGAUUAUUGUGCUCCUCUCCCUUUGGUGCAAAGAGUUACAUGCUAGGAGAGACAUGAGAUUAAAACUGGAUCUCCAGUUAGGAAGGAACGUGAACGUUAUGACCCUCCCAGUGAUGCAGUGUUAAAUGUCCUUCUUACCUACACUGUAGUAGCCAGUCAGGAGGUUUGUGGUCCCUACACAAACGAACUGGUGCCCACCUCAUCCAGCUUUCCUUUCCUUCCUGAUCACAAAGGAACACACUCUGUGCCCUUCCAGUCAGGGGGAGCUGUGUGACUAAUCUGGACAGCUGUCUGAACAAAAGUGACAUGGGUUAUUCUGGCACAGCAACAUCUGAGAGUGGGCAUGAGCUCUGCAAGUUCUCUCUUUUGUAACUUUGGAAGCUAUUUUUUCCAGAUGGUGUAGCCACAAAAUGGAAGGAGUCUGGACCCUGUUCGGAAGGGAACAGCCACAGAGAGCUGUCUGAUCUGAAGGAGACUUUUUGGGUCUGCUUUGAACUGGAGCUCACAGCAGGAAUGGGACAUUUGGAUUUCUCCUUCUCCUGUCCCUUCCCAUCUGGUCUUCACAUGCUACCUUCCCAUAUGGCAAAGGGUGGUGAGGCCUGCUCCAUAAAUAACUUCCUUGCACAACCCUCCAUGCUCUUUCUCCUUCCACUGGUUUUAUGUGGAUGCUACUGGAAGCCUCAGAAGCUACAUGCCAGAGAUGAAAGGAGAUGGUGCCCUGAAUCAGUGCCUGGAGGGAGCCUACCACCAGUCAGGUAACCUGUUUUGGACUUGACUUGGCUAGAUUUAUUUGACUUGAUUAUCUGUUACAGAUACUAGCCCUGCCCUAACUAGUAUAAGAACCAUUCUGGAAAUGGAAAGGACUCCAUUGGGAAGCACCUCAUUCUUUGUAACUAAGGUAUUUCCUUCUGCAAAGAUGCCUUAGAAGGAAUUAACAUUUGUACAACAGUUGAAUUACAUAUUCUCCGAGUUUCUCUCUAAUCCUGAGCUUUUCAUUAUUUUAUUCGCUCAAAGAUUUUUCUAACUUACUACACUCUCAGACAUUCAUUUGAGAGUUGAAAGCAUAUUUUCCUUUAACAGUCCCUGAAUGUCUCUUCUAAUUUGCUGUUUUGAAAAUGCUCUGAAUAUUUUAGACAACCAAACUUGGUAGCUCUGGGCUUAAAAUAAUGAUCACUAUGGAAAAAACAGGGUAUGAAUUGUAUAGAGAGAAUGAUUUUCAUUUUUCAAUAUAUUCCUAUUCAAAUGCAAGGAAAAAAAGAUUAGAAUGAAAUACACAAAAUAGCAAAAGUGGUUA